UGCCAGACUCCUACGGGAGGCAGCAGUGAGGAAUAUUGGUCAAUGGUCGGGAGACUGAACCAGCCAAGCCGCGUGAGGGAUGAAGGUACAGAGUAUCGUAAACCUCUUUUGUCAGGGAACAAAGGCGGGGACGUGUCCCCGGAUGAGUGUACCUGAAGAAAAAGCAUCGGCUAACUCCGUGCCAGCAGCCGCGGUAAUACGGAGGAUGCGAGCGUUAUCCGGAUUUAUUGGGUUUAAAGGGUGCGCAGGCGUUCUGUUAGUUCGGGGGUCAAACCCCGGGGCUCACCCUCGCUCCGCCGUUGAAACUGGCAGUCUCGAGUUGGAGAGAAGUAUGCGGAAUGCGCGGUGUAGCGGUGAAAUGCAUAGAUAUCGCGCAGAACUCCGAUUGCGAAGGCAGCAUGCCGGCUCCACACUGACGCUGAGGCACGAAAGCGUGGGUAUCGAACAGGAUUAGAUACCCCCGUA
Molecule: ribosomal RNA, 465 nt
Filed under: uncultured bacterium
Lineage: Bacteria
Description: bacterial SSU rRNA
Rfam family: Bacterial small subunit ribosomal RNA
Source: RNAcentral